GGGCCCAUAGCUCAGCGGUGAGAGCAACCGGCUCAUAACCGGGAGGUCCCAGGUUCGAAUCCUGGUGGGCCCACCA
RNAcentral lists this transfer RNA (76 nucleotides) under Candidatus Babelota bacterium. RNAcentral describes it as "tRNA-Ile". It matches the Rfam family "tRNA". From Rfam's summary of the family: Transfer RNA (tRNA) molecules are approximately 80 nucleotides in length. Their secondary structure includes four short double-helical elements and three loops (D, anti-codon, and T loops). The record is from RNAcentral.